UACGGGGGGAGCAAGCGUUGUUCGGAUUUACUGGGCGUGAAGGGCGCGUAGGCGGUCAGCACAAGUCAGUUGUGAAAUCUCCGAGCUUAACUCGGAAAGGUCAACUGAUACUGUGCGACUAGAGUGCAGAAGGGGCAACUGGAAUUCUUGGUGUAGCGGUGAAAUGCGUAGAUAUCAAGAGGAACACCUGCGGCGAAGGCGGGUUGCUGGGCUGACACUGACGCUGAAGCGCGAAAGCCAGGGGAGCGAACGGG
RNAcentral lists this ribosomal RNA (254 nucleotides) under uncultured bacterium. Its description in RNAcentral is "partial 16S ribosomal RNA". It matches the Rfam family "Bacterial small subunit ribosomal RNA", at positions 524 to 776 of the family's 1533-position model. The record is from RNAcentral.